CCUGCAGACUCGCCCGAACCCGCGGCCUCUCCGAGUCCGGGCAGCUCCCUGCGGGCCCGUCCCUGCGGCUCCCGGGUCCUUCCGCCGCCGUCCUCCUCCCUCCCUUCUCCGGGGCCUUCACUCCGACCGGAAAGAGGAGGGGAGACGGGGGCGAGGCAACAAUUUCUAUACCCCGGACCCCGCGCCAAGCCUUGAUGGGUCUCUUCACAGAUGUGGGUCUUCAAAAAACAAAUCAAGAGUUUCUAGAACAAGGGUUCCUGGAGCAGAUGUCAGCUAGAGGCAGCCAUCUCUGGGAAAACAACAACAACAGUUUUCAUCCUUGGAAGAGACACUCAAAGGGAGAUCCUUCCCAGCAGAUACAAUGCAUAGAGAUGAUGCUAAAAGAAAAUGACAGGGGCUUCCCUGGUGGCGCAGUGGUUGAGAAUCCGCCUGCCAAUGCAGGGGACACGGGUUCGAUCCCCGGUCUGGGAAGAUCCCAUAUGCCGCAGAGCAACUAAGCCCGCGUGCCACAACUACUGAGCCUGCGCUCUAGAGCCCACAGCCACAGCUACUGAGCCCACGUGCCACAACUACUGAAGCCCGUGCACCUAGAGCCAGUGCUCCGCAACAAGAGAAGCCACCGCAAUGAGAAGCUCACGCACCGCAACGAAGAGUAGCCCCUGCUCACCGCAACUAGAGAAAGCCCGCGCACAGCAACGAAGACCCAACUCAGCCAAAAAUAAAAUAAAUAAAAUAAA
Molecule: long non-coding RNA, 737 nt
Organism: Balaenoptera acutorostrata (minke whale)
Lineage: Eukaryota; Metazoa; Chordata; Mammalia; Artiodactyla; Balaenopteridae
Exons: 3
Source: RefSeq, a predicted model, not a curated record